RNAcentral lists this ribosomal RNA (116 nucleotides) under Haemophilus influenzae. The record is from RNAcentral. Lineage: Bacteria; Pseudomonadati; Pseudomonadota; Gammaproteobacteria; Pasteurellales; Pasteurellaceae.
CCGGGCGGGGUUAGUGCGGUGGACCCCCUUGGGCCCAUACCGAACUCAGAGGGGAACCGCUGUAAGGCCGAUGGUAGUGUGGGGCAUCCCCAUGUGAGAGUAGGGCACCGCCAGGU